AAAGUCGUAACAAGGUUUCCGUAGGUGAACCUGCGGAAGGAUCAUUAACACGUAUCCAACGUUAAAACAACCCUGUGAACCUUUAGCGUGCUCUUGCAGCCCAUGAAAGCAGCAAUCCCUGGUAAAUCAUUGUUGACCAGCUAUUGAGUCAGGGACCUCUGCCGAUGAGAAGUUACAGUUGCAAUUGAGCGCUUGCUUAAGUGACCUGGCAUCCCCAAGCAAUCAAUGUCUGAAAGUGUCAUUGGUUGUGUAAGGGUGGCGCAGUAAACGAUUGCUAGAGGCCCACACGGCCGGCAACCGGGUCACCGGGCUCACGCCCCUUAACCAACCCCAAUGUGUCUGAACCGCUGGUUGGUAACGCGCCAGCACAAAAACCGAACAACUGUUAACAAUGGAUAUCUUGGUUCUC
RNAcentral lists this unclassified non-coding RNA (409 nucleotides) under Cercozoa sp. RNAcentral describes it as "partial contains small subunit ribosomal RNA, internal transcribed spacer 1, and 5.8S ribosomal RNA". The stretch from base 1 to 47 matches the Rfam family "Eukaryotic small subunit ribosomal RNA", at positions 1785 to 1831 of the family's 1831-position model. The record is from RNAcentral. Lineage: Eukaryota; Cercozoa.